AUGUAGCAAGGCGUCUGACUACGAAUCAGGAGAUCGUGGGUUCGAGCCCCACCGU
Molecule: transfer RNA, 55 nt
Filed under: Neonectria ditissima
Lineage: Eukaryota; Fungi; Ascomycota; Sordariomycetes; Hypocreales; Nectriaceae
Also listed under: 1 other name
Rfam family: tRNA
About the family: Transfer RNA (tRNA) molecules are approximately 80 nucleotides in length. Their secondary structure includes four short double-helical elements and three loops (D, anti-codon, and T loops).
Source: Rfam by way of RNAcentral